GAAAGAAAAACAGCCUAAGCAGGUCCUACAUGUCAAUCUCCUGAGAGAAUUUAAGGAGAGGGGGUCUGAUCUGACAGGUCCAGAGGAUGUCAAAGACCAAGUGAUGAUGGUGAGGGCCAUAGAGGAGGAAGAGGAUGAACCUGAUAUGGAACCAGUUCGUUCGUUGCUGAAGGCCCCAGAAUGCUAUUCAAGCUUAAAUAACCAACAACAACAGCAACUAAUUGAGGUACUUCAAUCUUUUCCCUCUCUUUUCCAGAAGAGGCCUGGAAGGACCGAGAUCCUAACACACAACAUCAUCCUGAAAGACACUACUCCCAUACGACAGAAACCCUAUCGAGUCCCAGAGAAGAUGGUGGAACAGUUAAAGACUGAGAUCAAGACCAUGUUGGAAAUGGGGAUUAUAGAACCCUCGAAAAAGGUUAUAUCAAUACACUGUUAUGCCUUUUGGAUUACAUGGAGCACCAGCCACCUUCCAAAGGUUGAUGGACCGUGUACUUACGGGUGUGAGCAGUAUGCAGCCGCAUACCUUGAUGAUGUGGUGAUAUACAGUGGAUCCUGGCAAGAACAUUUAAGGCAUCUUGAGGAUAUCCUAAAGAGGCUUCAGGAAGCUGGGCUCACCAUUAACACCACCAAAUGUUCAUGGGCUCAGACGGAGGUCAGGUAUUUGGGGUACUUACUGGGACAUGGUCAGAUCAGACCACAGGUGGAAAAGCUUAAGGCUAUCCAAAAUAUUGCUCGCCCGCAGACUAAAAAGCAAGUGAGAUCUUUCCUUGGAUUAAUCGGCUGGUACCGCCGAUUUGUUCCCCACUUUGCAUCACUGGCUACACCUUUGACUGAUCUGACUAAAAAAAGAGUCCUGCUAAGUUUUGUUGGACGAGUGAGUGUGAAGAAGCCUUCAAGGCCCUGAAGAAUCUGUUAUGCAAUGAACCAGUGUUACAGAGCCCUAAUUUCACCCAGAGAUUUAUUGUACAGGUGGAUGCUUCUGAUGUUGGCUUGGGAGCCGUACUGGUCCAAGGAGAGGCUCAUGAUGAGAGACCAGUUCUAUUUUUUUGAGCAGAAAAACUCUUUGAAAGAGAGAGGAAAUACUCCACAAUUGAGAAAGAAGGACUUGCCAUCAAAUGGGCUGUGGACUCCCUGCGGUAUUACUUACUGGGGCGUGAAUUCACAUUACGUUCUGAUCAUCGUGCCCUGAAGUGGAUGCAAACUAUGCAGAAUAGUAACUCAAGGAUACUGCGCUGGGGUCUGACUCUGCAGCCCUAUGUAUUUACCAUUGAGCACUGUCCAGGUAAGAAAAAUAUUAUUGCUGAUUAUUUGUCCCGUUUGCCAAAUUUAGAUCAUCCAGAGGGGGAAGAAGGGGGAAAAUGUGAUGUGGCACACAUGGGUCAAAUGAAAACACCAUAGACAUGUUUGGCAAGAUCUUUAUUUUGUUUGUUUUACUUAGAAACAGUAACAUGGAAGGUGCACAUUCCAUGGUGACUGCUGGUAAUGUGAAACAUUCAAUAUAGUGUUAAAGUCAAGAAAUGUGUGAAUAGUAACAUGUGUUUCGUUUCUGUGUCUUACCGGUUCCUGGAAAGCCCAAAAAGAGCGGCCCGCGAACAGGAAACCAGUUUAUGGCAUUCUGAAGGGGAGGAGUUACACAAUUAAGGAUGUGUGGAUUAAAAUGUCUUGUAUAUGUAUACUUUGAUGAAUUAUUAGGGAGGGAAGCCUUUGGUUAAAGGAGAACUUCAUUAUGGGUGUGACUAGUGAGGCUGAAAGUCUAUGUGAAGUGUGAAAUGUACCGUUUAACAAAUGGAGUGUUAUGAUUGGUCCGUUUGAAUACUAGGGGAGGGGGCCAAGGGUAUAAAAGAGUAGUGGAAAUGUCUGAAUGGAGGACGGGUGUUUGUUGGAACAGUAGCCAACUAUUUAGGUUUUUUCUUUAGUUUUCUGUUAUGUCCUGAGUUGUACUUUAAAUAAGUUUUCUUUUGUUUUGUUUUUUCCCUGGGUUCAACUUGCCCAUUUAUUUGAUAGUUUGCUUUGGUUUUUGCUAUGUCUGUUUGAAACUUGUGGAUCCCAAGAAUAAAAAAAAGGACUUUCCAUGGACUUUUCCUGGAGUUUUGCCACUUCUUUUGCUGUCAGUUAGCCAUUGCAU
Long non-coding RNA from Cyprinus carpio carpio, 2128 nucleotides. The record is from Ensembl. NCBI's taxonomy places the organism in Eukaryota, Metazoa, Chordata, Actinopteri, Cypriniformes, Cyprinidae.